This 1719-nucleotide long non-coding RNA is filed under the name Sus scrofa (pig). RNAcentral's name for it is "lncRNA (ENSSSCG00070009520.1)". Lineage: Eukaryota; Metazoa; Chordata; Mammalia; Artiodactyla; Suidae. The record is from RNAcentral.
AUGUGGGAGCCAUUUAGGGUGCGUUUUUCAGUCCUGUGGCUUCUCCCUCACCAGAUGGAGUCUCUGGGGAGAGUCAGCGGACUCCCUCCCUGGGUCCCGGUGCCAGGGUCGGCAUCCACCCCUCAGCAGGCUCACCAUCAGCUCAGCAGCCCCCCUGCUGACUGGCCUCUGCGCACCCGGCAUUCUGUCUGGCCCCUCACAUGUGUGGUCCUGCUUAAUCCCCAUUUGAGAGACGGGGAAGCUGAGGCACGGAGCAGUUCAAGUGCACCCAUGGCCACACAUGGCUUCCAGUGGAAGGACCAGGACAGCAAAGAGAUGCCCCCCAGCAGGGCAGGGUUGCUGAGGGCCACAGAGAGGCAGGGAGGCCACAGAGGGGCCUGGGGUAAGGGCCGGCGUGGGGCAGGCAGCCUCGCCCCGUUCCCUGGUGGCUUGUUUGCCUUCUCUGUCCUCCAUCCAGCUGAGGGGGUGACGACGCUGUCCAGGGAGGCAGGAGGGAGUGAGGGUUCCAGAAGCUGUAACAGGCCAGGGAGCCGACUUUUCCUUCUUAGGGCCGCACCUGCAGCAUCUGGAGGUUCCCACACCAGGGGUCGAAUGAGAGCUGCAGCUGCCGGCUACCCACAGCACGAGCGCGUCGGAUCCAGAGCCGCAGCUGCCGGCCUACACCACAGCCACGCCGGAUCCGAGCCGCGUCUGGGACCUACACCACAGCCACAGCCACAGCCACGCCGGAUCCGAGCCGCGUCUGGGACCUACACCACAGCCACAGCCACAGCCACGCCGGAUCCGAGCCGCGUCUGGGACCUACACCACAGCCACAGCCACAGCCACGCCGGAUCCGAGCCGCGUCUGGGACUACACCACAGCCACAGCCACAGCCACGCCGGAUCCGAGCCGCGUCUGGGACCUACACCACAGCCACAGCCACAGCCACGCCGGAUCCGAGCCGCGUCUGGGACCUACACCACAGCCACAGCCACAGCCACGCCGGAUCCGAGCCGCGUCUGGGACCUACACCACAGCCACAGCCACAGCCACGCCGGAUCCGAGCCGCGUCUGGGACCUACACCACAGCCACAGCCACAGCCACGCCGGAUCCGAGCCGCGUCUGGGACCUACACCACAGCCACAGCCACAGCCACGCCGGAUCCGAGCCGCGUCUGGGACCUACACCACAGCCACAGCCACAGCCACGCCGGAUCCGAGCCGCGUCUGGGACCUACACCACAGCCACAGCCACAGCCACGCCGGAUCCGAGCCGCGUCUGGGACCUACACCACAGCCACAGCCACAGCCACGCCGGAUCCGAGCCGCGUCUGGGACCUACACCACAGCCACAGCCACAGCCACGCCGGAUCCGAGCCGCGUCUGGGACCUACACCACAGCCACAGCCACAGCCACGCCGGAUCCGAGCCGCGUCUGGGACCUACACCACAGCCACAGCCACAGCCACGCCGGAUCCGAGCCGCGUCUGGGACCUACACCACAGCCACAGCCACAGCCACGCCGGAUCCGAGCCGCGUCUGGGACCUACACCACAGCCACAGCCACAGCCACGCCGGAUCCGAGCCGCGUCUGGGACCUACACCACAGCCACAGCCACAGCCAUGCCGGAUCCGAGCCGCGUCUGGGACCUACACCACAGCCACAGCCACAGCCACGCCGGAUCCGAGCCGCGUCUGGGAUCUACACCACAGCUCACAGCAACACCAGAUCCUUAA